Non-coding RNA from Acanthosepion pharaonis, 99 nucleotides. The record is from the annotation of a GenBank genome assembly. Lineage: Eukaryota; Metazoa; Mollusca; Cephalopoda; Sepiida; Sepiidae.
GUGCAAACAUUGGUUCCCAUACAAUCACUAAAGUUAAGCAACAUCAAGCCUGGUCAGUAUCUAGAUAGGUAACCACUUGGGAAAACCAGGUGCUGUAAG